This 88-nucleotide transfer RNA is filed under the name Periconia digitata. Its description in RNAcentral is "tRNA-Ile". It matches the Rfam family "tRNA". From Rfam's summary of the family: Transfer RNA (tRNA) molecules are approximately 80 nucleotides in length. Their secondary structure includes four short double-helical elements and three loops (D, anti-codon, and T loops). Further hydrogen bonds mediate the characteristic L-shaped molecular structure. tRNAs have two regions of fundamental functional importance: the anti-codon, which is responsible for specific mRNA codon recognition, and the 3' end, to which the tRNAs corresponding amino acid is attached (by aminoacyl-tRNA synthetases). tRNAs cope with the degeneracy of the genetic code in two manners: having more than one tRNA (with a specific anti-codon) for a particular amino acid; and 'wobble' base-pairing, i.e. permitting non-standard base-pairing at the 3rd anti-codon position. Lineage: Eukaryota; Fungi; Ascomycota; Dothideomycetes; Pleosporales; Periconiaceae. The record is from RNAcentral.
AGGUCGACUAGCUCAGCUGGUUAGAGCGUGGUGCUAAUACUUCUCCUGUUAACGCCAAGGUCGUGAGUUCGAUCCUCGCGUUGACCUG